Cinara cedri is the source of this 211-nucleotide non-coding RNA. The record is from the annotation of a GenBank genome assembly. Lineage: Eukaryota; Metazoa; Arthropoda; Insecta; Hemiptera; Aphididae.
UUCUUCACUCGAAAAUAAGUCGAGUAGAUUAUUAUCGACAUACGGUACCAUGCGUAUACAUAGACAAUAGACAUACAGUAUGAUGCUUAUAUGACGUGUUAUUCAGACAAAAAAACUUAUUCGAUUACAAGAUAAGGUUCCGAAAAUAUUACGGUAUUUUAGCAAAUGUUUGUCUCACCCGUCCACUACACGUGUUUAUUUGUUAAUCCCG